CCUACGGGAGGCAGCAGUGGGGAAUAUUGGACAAUGGGCGAAAGCCUGAUCCAGCCAUGCCGCGUGUGUGAAGAAGGCCUUCGGGUUGUAAAGCACUUUCAGUGGGGAAGAAAGCCUUGGGGCUAAUACCCUCGAGGAAGGACAUCACCCACAGAAGAAGCACCGGCUAACUCCGUACCAGCAGCCGCGGUAAUACGGAGGGUGCGAGCGUUAAUCGGAAUUACUGGGCGUAAAGCGCGCGUAGGCGGUCUGAUAAGCCGGUUGUGAAAGCCCCGGGCUCAACCUGGGAACGGCAUCCGGAACUGUCAGGCUAGAGUGCAGGAGAGGAAGGUAGAAUUCCCGGUGUAGCGGUGAAAUGCGUAGAGAUCGGGAGGAAUACCAGUGGCGAAGGCGGCCUUCUGGACUGACACUGACGCUGAGGUGCGAAAGCGUGGGUAGCAAACAGGAUUAGAUACCCCAGUAGUC
This 465-nucleotide ribosomal RNA is filed under the name Vreelandella stevensii. RNAcentral's name for it is "partial 16S ribosomal RNA". It matches the Rfam family "Bacterial small subunit ribosomal RNA", at positions 338 to 795 of the family's 1533-position model. The record is from RNAcentral. Lineage: Bacteria; Pseudomonadati; Pseudomonadota; Gammaproteobacteria; Oceanospirillales; Halomonadaceae.